GACGAACGCUGGCGGCGUGCCUAAUACAUGCAAGUUGAGCGAUGAAGAUUGGUGCUUGCACCAAUUUGAAGAGCAGCGAACGGGUGAGUAACGCGUGGGGAAUCUGCCUUUGAGUGGGGGACAACAUUUGGAAACGAAUGCUAAUACCGCAUAACAACUUUAAACAUAAGUUUUAAGUUUGAAAGAUGCAAUUGCAUCACUCAAAGAUGAUCCCGCGUUGUAUUAGCUAGUUGGUGAGGUAAAGGCUCACCAAGGCGAUGAUACAUAGCCGACCUGAGAGGGUGAUCGGCCACAUUGGGACUGAGACACGGCCCAAACUCCUACGGGAGGCAGCAGUAGGGAAUCUUCGGCAAUGGACGAAAGUCUGACCGAGCAACGCCGCGUGAGUGAAGAAGGUUUUCGGAUCGUAAAACUCUGUUGGUAGAGAAGAACGUUGGUGAGAGUGGAAAGCUCAUCAAGUGACGGUAACUACCCAGAAAGGGACGGCUAACUACGUG
Molecule: ribosomal RNA, 497 nt
Filed under: uncultured bacterium
Lineage: Bacteria
Description: partial 16S ribosomal RNA
Rfam family: Bacterial small subunit ribosomal RNA
Source: RNAcentral